Molecule: non-coding RNA, 21 nt
Filed under: Arabidopsis thaliana (thale cress)
Lineage: Eukaryota; Viridiplantae; Streptophyta; Magnoliopsida; Brassicales; Brassicaceae
Source: RNAcentral
GAACUCUUUCUUCGGUAUCUA